GGACUUUGGCAGCACACAGACUAAAAUUGGACCGACACCGAGAAGAUUAGCAGGCCCCUGCCCAAGGAUGGCACGUAAAUCCAUGAAGCAUUCCAUGUGUUA
Small nuclear RNA from Rattus norvegicus (Norway rat), 102 nucleotides. The record is from Ensembl. Lineage: Eukaryota; Metazoa; Chordata; Mammalia; Rodentia; Muridae.